RNAcentral lists this ribosomal RNA (464 nucleotides) under uncultured bacterium. RNAcentral's name for it is "partial 16S ribosomal RNA". It matches the Rfam family "Bacterial small subunit ribosomal RNA", at positions 338 to 795 of the family's 1533-position model. The record is from RNAcentral.
CCUACGGGAGGCAGCAGUAGGGAAUUUUCGUCAAUGGGGGAAACCCUGAACGAGCAAUGCCGCGUGAGUGAAGAAGGCCCUCGGGUCGUAAAGCUCUGUUGUACGAGAAAAACGGUAAUGAUAGGGUAUGAUCAUUAAGUGAUGGUAUAUUACGAGGAAGCGACGGCUAACUACGUGCAAGCAGCCGCGGUAAUACGUAGGUGGCGAGCGUUAGCCGGAAUGGUUGGGCGGAAGGGGUGCGCAGGCGGAACAAUAAGUCAGAAGUAAAAGCGAGCGGCUCAACCGAUGUAAGCCUUGGAAACGGUGGAUCUUGAGUGCAGGAGAGGUCAGUGGAAUGCGAUGUGUAGCGGUAAAAUGCGUAGAUAUAAGGAGGAACACCAGUGGCGAAGGCAGCUGUCUGGCCUGUAACUGACGCUGAAGCACGAAAGCGUGGGGAGCGAAUAGGAUUAGAUACCCGUGUAGUC